AGCAGCCGCGGUAAUUCCAGCUCCAAUAGCGUAUAUUAAAGUUGUUGCAGUUAAAAAGCUCGUAGUUGAAUUUCGGGACCAAUAUGUCGGUCGUGCCUCGGUACGUACUGGUGUCAUUGGUUUCUCCCUUCUGAGGAUCCUUGAUGUCAUUAAUUUGGUGUCUUGGGGAAUCAGGACUGUUACCUUGAAAAAAAUUAGAGUGUUUAAAGCAGGCAUACGCUUGAAUACAUUAGCAUGGAAUAAUGAAAUAGGACGUUCGAUUCUAUUUUGUUGGUUUCUAGGAUCGACGUAAUGAUUAAUAGGGAUAGUUGGGGGCACUAGUAUUCAAUUGUCAGAGGUGAAAUUCUUGGAUUUAUUGAAGACUAACUACUGCGAAAGCAUUUGCCAAGGAUGUUUUCAUUAAUCAAGAACGAAAGUUAGGGGAAUCGAAGACGAUCAGAUACCGUCGUAGUCUUAACCAUAAACUAUGCCGACUAGGGAUCGGAUGAUGUUAAUUUUUAAUGACUCAUUCGGCGCCUUA
RNAcentral lists this ribosomal RNA (520 nucleotides) under uncultured Glomus. Its description in RNAcentral is "SSU rRNA". It matches the Rfam family "Eukaryotic small subunit ribosomal RNA", at positions 569 to 1090 of the family's 1831-position model. The record is from RNAcentral. Lineage: Eukaryota; Fungi; Glomeromycota; Glomeromycetes; Glomerales; Glomeraceae.